Molecule: ribosomal RNA, 470 nt
Filed under: uncultured bacterium
Lineage: Bacteria
Description: partial 16S ribosomal RNA
Rfam family: Bacterial small subunit ribosomal RNA
Source: RNAcentral
GACGAACGCUGGCGGCGUGCUUAACACAUGCAAGUCGAACGAUGAAGCCUAGCUUGCUAGGCGGAUUAGUGGCGAACGGGUGAGUAAUACGUGAGUAACCUACCUUUAACUCUGGGAUAAGCCCGGGAAACUGGGUCUAAUACCGGAUACGACCAAUCUCCGCAUGGGGUGUUGGUGGAAAGCGUUAUGUAGUGGUUAUAGAUGGGCUCACGGCCUAUCAGCUUGUUGGUGAGGUAACGGCUCACCAAGGCGACGACGGGUAGCCGGCCUGAGAGGGUGACCGGCCACACUGGGACUGAGACACGGCCCAGACUCCUACGGGAGGCAGCAGUGGGGAAUAUUGCACAAUGGGCGCAAGCCUGAUGCAGCGACGCCGCGUGAGGGAUGACGGCCUUCGGGUUGUAAACCUCUGUUAGCAGGGAAGAAGAGAGAUUGACGGUACCUGCAGAGAAAGCGCCGGCUAACUACGU